CCCUUAGAUGUUCUGGGCCGCACGCGCGCUACACUGAUGCAUUCAACGAGUCUAAAACCUGCUCUGAUAGGGGUGGGUAAUCUUUUGAAUGUGCAUCGUGAUUGGGAUAGAUGAUUGCAAUUUUUCAUCUUCAACGAGGAAUGCCUAGUAAACGCAAGUCAUCAGCUUGCAUUGAUUACGUCCCUGCCCUUUGUACACACCGCCCGUCGCUCCUACCGAUUGAAUGAUCCGAUGAAUAUCAUGGAUUGAGGAUUAUAGCGGGUUCGCCUGUCUUGAUCUUCGAGAAGUGAAGUAAAUCUUAUCAUUUAGAGGAAGGAGAAGUCGUAACA
This 329-nucleotide ribosomal RNA is filed under the name uncultured eukaryote. RNAcentral describes it as "partial 18S ribosomal RNA". It matches the Rfam family "Eukaryotic small subunit ribosomal RNA", at positions 1470 to 1796 of the family's 1831-position model. The record is from RNAcentral.